Molecule: long non-coding RNA, 808 nt
Organism: Lagopus muta (rock ptarmigan)
Lineage: Eukaryota; Metazoa; Chordata; Aves; Galliformes; Phasianidae
Exons: 3
Source: RefSeq, a predicted model, not a curated record
UAUGAGGAAUCUGUUGUCAGAAACCUUCCGUUCUUCAUGAGGAAUCUGUUGUCAGAAAACCUAUCCUCAUGGUUUUCAGUUCCUCUUUUAUCCUCCUUGUUCUCCUGCCUACGUGACAAGGAUGGGCCUCGAGCAAGAGUCAUUGAGUACCUCCUGAGAUGGCCAUCAUCCGGAGAUAAGCCCACACAAAGGAGCGCUUCACAGCUAUUCAGCUGCAGUUCAUCUCGCUCUCGUCGCCCCUGGCCUUGUCCAUCAGCGUUCCCCCAGACAAAGGAUCUCACAACCUUUGCCCAGGACUUGCCUGAACUUGUUCAUCUGUGUCCUUCAAACAAAGGAUUUCACAAUCCUUGCUCCGGACUUGAACAAGUCCAUCUGUGUCCCCAGCAAGCUUUGAGACACAGAAGUUAACAGUAUAGUCUCUUACAACAGGUGACUUGAAUCUCCUCAGUUCAUCAGAACUCACCGAACCUGUGGGCUGAAACCACUGGUAUUUAUUUAAGCAAGUGCAGCUGUUUCUUGGGUUAACUAGGUAAAGGAGCAGGAAGGGGAUGUGCCCAGGAGCUGGGAAGUACUUGGAUGAAAGGUUCAGAAGUAAAUUACCACAAAAAUGCAGAUGGAACCUGUAAUACUUGCCUCCACAUCAUUCAUCCAGUGGUUUGGGAGCUGCAGAUCAGCAUGUGAAAGACAGCAGUUAAAAUACAGGUUGUGAGGCGCCAGGGCAAUGCAAGCAGUGGCACUCAGCUCGUUCCUGGAGAAUACUGCCUGCAGUGUCACGUGCUGCUGGAAAGGAACUUUGCAGAAGUACAGU